This is a long non-coding RNA of Leptinotarsa decemlineata (Colorado potato beetle), 260 nucleotides long. The record is from RefSeq and is a predicted model, not a curated record. NCBI's taxonomy places the organism in Eukaryota, Metazoa, Arthropoda, Insecta, Coleoptera, Chrysomelidae.
CAGUGUUUGUUAUAAAAUGAUGAUCCUCGUGCUAGAGUCAGUUCUAAGACCUAAUUGUCGUUGAAUACUAUUCAUACUUAGUUUUUUUGAAGUGAAAAUGAGUAAAGCACUCUCCAUCACACCAAUUACACCUGCUGUUACCCACAGCGAGGGACCGUACUGGGAUGAAAAAGAACAAACUUUGUACUACCUUGACACAUUCAGUGCCACUUUGCACAGAUGGGACUCCCAUAAUGAGCGACUUUCAUCGCAUAAAUUAG